This 851-nucleotide ribosomal RNA is filed under the name Akashiwo sanguinea. RNAcentral describes it as "partial large subunit ribosomal RNA". It matches the Rfam family "Eukaryotic large subunit ribosomal RNA", at positions 42 to 910 of the family's 3401-position model. The record is from RNAcentral. Lineage: Eukaryota; Dinophyceae; Gymnodiniales; Gymnodiniaceae.
AUAAGUAAGCGGAGGAAAAGAAACUAAAUAGGAUUCUCUUAGUAAUGGCGAAUGAACUGGGAUGAGCUCACCAUGGGAAUCGGGGUCUUCGACCUUGAAUUGUAGUCUUGAGACGCACCGCCAACAGAGGCGCAGGUGUAAGCCUCUUGGAAGAGAGCAUCGCGGAGGGUGAGAGUCCCGUCUGUCACCUGCAGUCCCCUGUGUACGGCAUGCGUUCUGAGAGUCACGUUCCUCGGGAUUGGAGCGCAAAUUGGGUGGUAAGUUUCACCUUAAGCUAAAUAUUGGUCCGAGACCGAUAGCAAACAAGUACCAUGAGGGAAAGGUGAAAAGGACUUUGAAAAGAGAGUUAAAAGUGCUUGAAAUUGCUGAAAGGGAAGCGAAUGGAACCAGUUCUGCUGGGCGAGAUUGUCGCAUGCCAAGGCCCUGUGCCGGCCGCAUGCGGUGCUUCUUGCCUUGUGUGUCAGCUGCGGUCCGAAGUUGGGGAAAACUCUGGGGACAUGGAUGCCAACCUCCGGGGGGGUGAAUGUGCCUGGCAAGACCCGUCCUUGGACUGUGAGCAGUGCUUCGGCAUGUUUGCGGUGCUGACGAAAUGCUUCUAUUCGACCCGUCUUGAAACACGGACCGAGGAGUCUAACAUGUGUGCGAGCUCACGGGUGUCAAACCUGCUUGCGCAAUGAAAGUGACUGCUGGGAUACUUGCACCAGCAACCGAUCUGUCAACUGAGAGAGAUUUGAGUUUGAGCAUACCUGUUAGGACCCGAAAGAUGGUGAACUAUGCUUGUGUAGGGCAAAGCCAGGGGAAACUCUGGUGGAGGCUCGUAGCGAUACUGACGUGCAAAUCGUUCGUCAAAC